This 580-nucleotide ribosomal RNA is filed under the name uncultured Pseudomonas sp. Its description in RNAcentral is "bacterial SSU rRNA". It matches the Rfam family "Bacterial small subunit ribosomal RNA", at positions 102 to 678 of the family's 1533-position model. Lineage: Bacteria; Pseudomonadati; Pseudomonadota; Gammaproteobacteria; Pseudomonadales; Pseudomonadaceae. The record is from RNAcentral.
ACGGGUGAGUAAUGCCUAGGAAUCUGCCUGGUAGUGGGGGAUAACGUUCGGAAACGGACGCUAAUACCGCAUACGUCCUACGGGAGAAAGCAGGGGACCUUCGGGCCUUGCGCUAUCAGAUGAGCCUAGGUCGGAUUAGCUAGUUGGUGAGGUAAUGGCUCACCAAGGCAACGAUCCGUAACUGGUCUGAGAGGAUGAUCAGUCACACUGGAACUGAGACACGGUCCAGACUCCUACGGGAGGCAGCAGUGGGGAAUAUUGGACAAUGGGCGAAAGCCUGAUCCAGCCAUGCCGCGUGUGUGAAGAAGGUCUUCGGAUUGUAAAGCACUUUAAGUUGGGAGGAAGGGCAUUAACCUAAUACGUUAGUGUUUUGACGUUACCGACAGAAUAAGCACCGGCUAACUCUGUGCCAGCAGCCGCGGUAAUACAGAGGGUGCAAGCGUUAAUCGGAAUUACUGGGCGUAAAGCGCGCGUAGGUGGUUUGUUAAGUUGGAUGUGAAAUCCCCGGGCUCAACCUGGGAACUGCAUUCAAAACUGACUGACUAGAGUAUGGUAGAGGGUGGUGGAAUUUCCUGUGUAG